AUUGAACGCUGGCGGCAGGCUUAACACAUGCAAGUCGAACGGUAACAUAAAGAAGCUUGCUUCUUUGAUGACGAGUGGCGGACGGGUGAGUAAUGCUUGGGAAUCUAGCUUAUGGAGGGGGAUAACUACGGGAAACUGUAGCUAAUACCGCGUAGAAUCGAGAGAUGAAAGUGUGGGACCUUCGGGCCACAUGCCAUAGGAUGAGCCCAAGUGGGAUUAGGUAGUUGGUGAGGUAAAGGCUCACCAAGCCGACGAUCUCUAGCUGGUCUGAGAGGAUGACCAGCCACACUGGGACUGAGACACGGCCCAGACUCCUACGGGAGGCAGCAGUGGGGAAUAUUGCGCAAUGGGGGCAACCCUGACGCAGCCAUGCCGCGUGAAUGAAGAAGGCCUUCGGGUUGUAAAGUUCUUUCGGUAGCGAGGAAGGCAUUUAGUUUAAUAAACUAGGUGAUUGACGUUAACUACAGAAGAAGCACCGGCUAACUCCGUGCCAGCCGCCGCCGUAACAC
This 509-nucleotide ribosomal RNA is filed under the name uncultured bacterium. RNAcentral describes it as "bacterial SSU rRNA". It matches the Rfam family "Bacterial small subunit ribosomal RNA", at positions 30 to 526 of the family's 1533-position model. The record is from RNAcentral.